GCUCAACCGGGGAGGGUCAUUGGAAACUGGGGAACUUGAGUGCAGAAGAGGAGAGUGGAAUUCCACGUGUAGCGGUGAAAUGCGUAGAGAUGUGGAGGAACACCAGUGGCGAAGGCGACUCUCUGGUCUGUAACUGACGCUGAGGCGCGAAAGCGUGGGGAGCGAACAGGAUUAGAUACCCUGGUAGUCCACGCCGUAAACGAUGAGUGCUAAGUGUUAGAGGGUUUCCGCCCUUUAGUGCUGCAGCAAACGCAUUAAGCACUCCGCCUGGGGAGUACGGUCGCAAGACUGAAACUCAAAGGAAUUGACGGGGGCCCGCACAAGCGGUGGAGCAUGUGGUUUAAUUCGAAGCAACGCGAAGAACCUUACCAGGUCUUGACAUCCUCUAACAACCCUAGAGGUAGGGCUUCCCCUUCGGGGGCAGAGUGACAGGUGGUGCAUGGUUGUCGUCAGCUCGUGUCGUGAGAUGUUGGGUUAAGUCCCGCAACGAGCGCAACCCUUGAUCUUAGUUGCCAGCAUUCAGUUGGGCACUCUAAGGUGACUGCCGGUGACAAACCGGAGGAAGGUGGGGAUGACGUCAAAUCAUCAUGCCCCUUAUGACCUGCGCUACACACGUGCUACAAUGGGCAGAACAAAG
RNAcentral lists this ribosomal RNA (637 nucleotides) under uncultured bacterium. RNAcentral describes it as "bacterial SSU rRNA". It matches the Rfam family "Bacterial small subunit ribosomal RNA", at positions 607 to 1244 of the family's 1533-position model. The record is from RNAcentral.